Molecule: ribosomal RNA, 502 nt
Filed under: uncultured bacterium
Lineage: Bacteria
Description: bacterial SSU rRNA
Rfam family: Bacterial small subunit ribosomal RNA
Source: RNAcentral
AACGAACGCUGGCGGCGUGGAUAAGACAUGCAAGUCGAACGGGAUCAUUGGAGUAGCAAUACAACAGUGGUCUAGUGGCGAACGGGUGCGUAACACGUGGAUACAUUCCGGGAAGCGGGGGAUAGCCCAGGGAAACUUGGAUUAAUACCGCAUGUGGUCGAAAGACUAAAGGCAGGGACCGCAAGGCCUGCCACUUCCCGAUUGGUCCGCGGCCUAUCAGCUAGUUGGCGGGGUAAAGCCCACCAAGGCUACGACGGGUAGCUGGUCUUAGAGGACGACCAGCCACACUGGAACUGAGACACGGUCCAGACACCUACGGGUGGCAGCAGUCGAGAAUCUUUCACAAUGGGGGCAACCCUGAUGGAGCGACGCCGCGUGGAGGAUAAGGUCUUCGGAUUGUAAACUCCUGUCAUGUGUGAACAAGGCUGUCGUGUUAAUAGCAUGGCAGAUUGAUGGUAACACAAGAGGAAGAGACGGCUAACUCUGUGCCAGCAGCCGCGGU